AGUGAACGCUGCGGUAGGCCUAACCCAUGCAAGUCGAACGGCAGCACAGUAAGAGCUUGCUCUUACGGGUGGCGAGUGGCGGACGGGUGAGGAAUACAUCGGAAUCUACUUUUUCGUGGGGGAUAACGUAGGGAAACUUACGCUAAUACCGCAUACGACCUACGGGUGAAAGCAGGGGAUCUUCGGACCUUGCGCGAUUGAAUGAGCCGAUGUCGGAUUAGCUAGUUGGCGGGGUAAAGGCCCACCAAGGCGACGAUCCGUAGCUGGUCUGAGAGGAUGAUCAGCCACACUGGAACUGAGACACGGUCCAGACUCCUACGGGAGGCAGCAGUGGGGAAUAUUGGACAAUGGGCGCAAGCCUGAUCCAGCCAUACCGCGUGGGUGAAGAAGGCCUUCGGGUUGUAAAGCCCUUUUGUUGGGAAAGAAAAGCAGCAGGUUAAUACCCCGCUGUUCUGACGGUACCCAAAGAAUAAGCACCGGCUAACUUCGUG
RNAcentral lists this ribosomal RNA (491 nucleotides) under uncultured bacterium. RNAcentral's name for it is "partial 16S ribosomal RNA". It matches the Rfam family "Bacterial small subunit ribosomal RNA", at positions 29 to 507 of the family's 1533-position model. The record is from RNAcentral.